GAUGAAGAACGUAGCGAAAUGCGAUAAGUAAUGUGAAUUGCAGAAUUCAGUGAAUCAUCGAAUCUUUGAACGCACAUUGCGCCCCUUGGUAUUCCGAGGGGCAUGCCUGUUCGAGCGUCAUUACACCACUCAAGCUAUGCUUGGUAUUGGGCGUCGUCCUUAGUUGGGCGCGCCUUAAAGACCUCGGCGAGGCCACUCCGGCUUUAGGCGUAGUAGAAUUUAUACGAACGUCUGUCAAAGGAGAGGAACUCUGCCGACUGAAACCUUUAUUUUUCUAGGUUGACCUCGGAUCAGGUAGGGAUACCCGCUGAACUUAAGCAUAUCAAUAAGCGGAGGA
RNAcentral lists this unclassified non-coding RNA (337 nucleotides) under soil metagenome. Its description in RNAcentral is "partial contains 5.8S ribosomal RNA, internal transcribed spacer 2, and large subunit ribosomal RNA". The stretch from base 1 to 120 matches the Rfam family "5.8S ribosomal RNA", at positions 35 to 154 of the family's 154-position model. The record is from RNAcentral.